GAUUAGGGCCACAGGAGGAGAAACAAUAAUUACAGAAGGGAGAUUUUCUUUAUUUCCGUUUAGAGAUUAAAGUCAAAAUUUAAAAAGUAAAAAUUUGGAGACUAAAGUCGAAAUUUAAAAAGUCAAAAUUUCGAGAUUAAAGUUGUAAUUUAAAAAAAGUAGAUAUUUCAGUUUUAUUAAUGUCAACUUUAAUCUCGAAAGUUAAUUUUUUGUAUCUCAAAAUUUCGGUAGUAUUCACAACAUUUUGUAAUCUCAAAGAUUCAACUUCAGUCUCAAAAUUUUAAUUUACUAAAUCAUAACAUUUAAACUUUAAUCUCAAAAUUUAAUUUUUUUUUUAAUCUCGAAAUUUUGACAUUAUACACGACAUUUUGUAAUCUCAAAAAUUGGACUUUAAUCUCAAAAUUUCGACUGAAUCUCAAAAUUGUCUUUUUUUGUAAUCUCGAAAUGUCAACAUUAGUCAUGAUAUUUUAAAAUUUUCUAAUCCCAAAAAUUGGACUCUAAUCUCAAAAUAAGGACUUCAAUCUUGAAAUUAAUUUAUUUUUUAAUCUCAAAAUUUCGACAUUAUUCGCAACAUUUUGUAAUCUUGAAAUUUCAACUUUAAUCUCAAAAUUGUAAUUUGCUUAAUCUUCAAAUUCUGACUUUAAUCUCAAAAUUUUUUAAUUUUUUUUAUCUCGAAAUUUCAACCUUCGUCAUGGCAUUUUGACAUAUUGUAAUCCCGAAAAUUGGAUCUUAAACUCAAAAUUUUGACUUUAAUCUUGAAAUUUGGACUAACAUCUCCUUCCUGUAAUUAUUUUUUCCUCUUUUUUUCUCUCAUCCUCUUUCGUAUUUAUUUGUUUUCAAAUGAUAAGAAAGCAGGAGGAUUAUUUGUCAAAGUGCCCAGUUUUUUUGUACCAUAAUUGUUUACUUAAUUAAACUUAAAAUUAAGUUUACUUAAUUUUUGCAGCGUUGUGUCGGUGUGAUGUUCAUGAAUAUGUUGUGUGUUUAUCUGCUUUUUUGCUUCCAUGUGAUGGAUCUUGAGGUGAAAAACGAAAGGCUGAACUUCUCUUUUAUUCGUCUUUCUGCUGCCACAUCCCCGGCUCCAGUCCGGUUUUCUGUCCUCUCGAUUGUGUCUGAGCCACCUAUUUAUUUGAUCUUAAAAAAGGGUCUGGAGACCACUCUUCUGUUUGUGUCUAAAUAUGAGAGUGCCUGCAAAAGUAAUGUCUGAGUAUGUGUGAUGUUUUAAAGCUGAAGGAUUUUUUUUAUUAACGUAUAGAAACAUGUACAGGAUGGGAGGGGAGGUGAAGCACUUGUUCAUCUUCAGUUCUUAAAGUUGUCAUGGCUUGUCUGUGCUCAGACCGACAGAGGAGUUUAUCGUUCAUUCUCACACGAUCAGCCUAAUCAGCGAGCAGGCGGAGAGUACACAGGAAACUACUGUAAAGAUGAUAAUGUUGUUUUUUUUGUUUUUUUUUUUUAUUUUAUUUUAAACUCUGAAGUGUAAAAUAACUUUUUGACUCUCACUAUAUUUAAUUAAAGUUCUUUCCUCUCUGUGAAAA
This is a non-coding RNA of Xyrichtys novacula (pearly razorfish), 1532 nucleotides long. The record is from the annotation of a GenBank genome assembly. NCBI's taxonomy places the organism in Eukaryota, Metazoa, Chordata, Actinopteri, Labriformes, Labridae.